This 468-nucleotide ribosomal RNA is filed under the name uncultured bacterium. Its description in RNAcentral is "partial 16S ribosomal RNA". It matches the Rfam family "Bacterial small subunit ribosomal RNA", at positions 28 to 507 of the family's 1533-position model. The record is from RNAcentral.
GACGAACGCUGGCGGCGUGCUUAACACAUGCAAGUCGAACGGAAAGGCCCUGCUUUUGUGGGGUGCUCGAGUGGCGAACGGGUGAGUAACACGUGAGUAAGCUGCCCUUGACUUUGGGAUAACUUCAGGAAACUGGGGCUAAUACUGAAUAGUAGCUCCUGCUGCAUGGUGGGGGUUGGAAAGUUUCGGCGGUUGGGGAUGGACUCGCGGCUUAUCAGCUUGUUGGUGGGGUAGUGGCUUACCAAGGCUUUGACGGGUAGCCGGCCUGAGAGGGUGACCGGCCACAUUGGGACUGAGAUACGGCCCAGACUCCUACGGGAGGCAGCAGUGGGGAAUAUUGCACAAUGGGCGGACGCCUGAUGCAGCAACGCCGCGUGCGGGAUGACGGCCUUCGGGUUGUAAACCGCUUUCGCCUGUGACGAAGCGUGAGUGACGGUAAUGGGUAAAGAAGCACCGGCUAACUACGUG